CGCCGCCGCCGCGGUUCCUUACAUGCGGUGGCCCGGGUGGCUGCCAGCGCUGCCGCCCGCUGCCCGCCGCCCCGGCAUCCCGAGCUGCCUCCCGACGUGCCAGCCCGGCGCGCAGGUGUACAGGAAAGAAAUGCACAAAAUCCUGACCGAUCGGAAUAAUUCAUGAAGAAGGGGCUGGAUCCGUGGGUCAGAGAACACAGGACCAGUCUGCCGUCCCAAGGCCGAAGUCUGGUGUCUUGGAUUUGGCCCUGCGUUGCCCACUCCUGCUGGAUCUUGUCCAGUCGAGGGACAAAACGUCCUGACACCCUCCUGAAGGAUGGGAAGAGAGGAGAUUCUGAAGGCACAGAUGGCAAUACGUGCCAGAGGCGGAGGAAACCGAUGCCUGAGGGGGUUGCCCCCACACCAGCAGGAGCACCGAGGAGGCGGGAGCCGGAGGCACGCAGGCCCAAGAAGGGUAGAAAUCCCAGCAAUGACCAAGGCUGUCAUAGCAGCUCCCGGGCUGGCCAUCCAGGCCCCACCGGAUGGAGGACCACAGCGGCUCUCGCUUUGCAACUGCACAAGCUGCACCAAAGGCCAGAGACGCUGAAGAAGCAGCGUGAAUCCCGAAGCUUUCAGAAUAACCCGGAGAAAGCUGUCCGUUGAGUGGCAGCCCGUUUUGCCGGGGGACGUUGUAAGAAGAGACCUCCCCUUCCUCACCGCUCCCAUCCGCCCUGGACGCCCGUCCUCAUGGGCCCUGAAGACCUCACAUCCCCCUCGAAGCGUGCUGCUCCUGCCUCAGCCGUGGUAGUUCUGCUUAACCUUCUCUAUGAGAUAAAUGUUCGUUUUUUUUUCCUCCCUC
Phacochoerus africanus (Common warthog) is the source of this 838-nucleotide long non-coding RNA. RefSeq lists it as uncharacterized. Lineage: Eukaryota; Metazoa; Chordata; Mammalia; Artiodactyla; Suidae. The transcript is spliced from 4 exons. The record is from RefSeq and is a predicted model, not a curated record.